UCACGAAAGUGGGUUGUACUAGAAGUCUGCGCGCUGACCCGCAAGGGAGGCAGCGGCCCAAGGUAUGACUCAUGAUUGGGGUG
This 83-nucleotide ribosomal RNA is filed under the name uncultured bacterium. RNAcentral describes it as "partial 16S ribosomal RNA". The record is from RNAcentral.